This 449-nucleotide ribosomal RNA is filed under the name uncultured bacterium. RNAcentral's name for it is "partial 16S ribosomal RNA". It matches the Rfam family "Bacterial small subunit ribosomal RNA", at positions 29 to 523 of the family's 1533-position model. The record is from RNAcentral.
AGCGAACGCUGGCGGCAGGCUUAACACGUGCAAGUCGAACGGGCACUUCGGUGCUAGUGGCAGACGGGUGAGUAACACGUGGGAACGUACCUUUCGGUUCGGAAUAAUACAGGGAAACUUGUACUAAUACCGGAUACGCCCUUCGGGGGAAAGAUUUAUCGCCGAUAGAUCGGCCCGCGUCUGAUUAGCUAGUUGGUGAGGUAAUGGCUCACCAAGGCGACGAUCAGUAGCUGGUCUGAGAGGAUGAUCAGCCACACUGGGACUGAGACACGGCCCAGACUCCUACGGGAGGCAGCAGUGGGGAAUAUUGGACAAUGGGCGAAAGCCUGAUCCAGCCAUGCCGCGUGAGUGAUGAAGGCCUUAGGGCUGUAAAGCUCUUUUGUCCGGGAAGAUAAUGGCUGUACCGGAAGAAUAAGCCCCGGCUAACUUCGUGCCAGCCGCCGCGGUAA